Long non-coding RNA from Chenopodium quinoa (quinoa), 2708 nucleotides. RefSeq lists it as uncharacterized. The record is from RefSeq and is a predicted model, not a curated record. Lineage: Eukaryota; Viridiplantae; Streptophyta; Magnoliopsida; Caryophyllales; Amaranthaceae. The transcript is spliced from 7 exons.
GGACCCUCUUAUUCUGAACUUGUCGGCUGGCUGAGCAAAUUUUAUAGAAUAAAAAAAAAAGGAAAAGACAAUUUGAAAUAAAAAGGGAAGUGAGAAAAAGCAAAAGGGGGCAAUUCGAAAAUUAAAAGAAGAGCGAGAAAACAAAACCCUUUUAGAACAAAACCCUUCCAAUCAAUUCAAGGAAGGGAGAAGAGAGCAAUAAAGCGAACGACAAAGAGAGAAGCUAAAUCGAACGGCGAUCUAAACUCCGGCGAAAUCUAAUUACUUAUUCGGAAAUCUUCCUUCGUACGAUGUUAAUGAGAUAAUGAGGGAUCAACCGGCUGGUUCUAGCAACCCUCGCAAAAGGAAGCAAAAGGAAAUAAUUGUUGAGCCGUAACCAGAUGUGCUCUUUGAUGAUGAUGAUUUAGGCUCUGGCAGUGAGGAUGAUUUUUCUGAGGAUGAUGAUUAUGUCAUAGGACCAGCUGACCAGGGAAGCGAAUUUGAGGACCAAUCCUUUGAAGAAGAGGAGACUGUUUUGGUCCGGCGAAGAAGCAGCCCGAAGGUUGAGGAGAGACAAAGGGGUAACGCUGGGCCUAGGGGUCAGGGUGUGCAUAGGGGUGUUGUUUGAAGAAAAGUUGCUGCACGACUUAGGGCACUACCUAGGGCACAACCAGCGUCACUGUCGCCCAGGAGUAGGAAGUGGGCCGAAGUUUCUGUACACCAGAUGACAAGCGAGGCUGAGGAAGAAGGAUUUCAGCCACAAGGGUUUCAUCCACAAGGUUUUCAGCCACAAGGGUUUCAUCCACAAGGUUUUCAGCCACAAGGGUUUCAGCCACAUGGGUUUUAGUCUCAAAGUGUGGAGUCACAAGGUUUUCAGUCUCAAGGUCUUCUGUCACAAGGUCAGCUAGUGAAGCAGAAGGACCUUGUUGUUGUUACGCAAAAAACUUACUGUUCUGGGAAGUCCGCAAACUUCAUGUGUAAAGUUGAUGCUAUUAGUGAUGUGUUGAAGGCGUUGUCUUUGGAUAAGGAUAGGCGGGCGAUAAUUGAAAGAUGUGGGUUUGGUGACCUUUUCAAUAUAAAGAUGAAGAAGACGAUGUUGAAUCGGGGGUUUGCUUAUUGGCUGAUGAGUAGGGUGGAUGGUGAAAAAGGUAUUUUUGAAAUGGGUGAUGGGAGGUUGGUGCCACUGUGCACUGCACAAUGGCGCUACAUUUUUGGUAUUCCUGCCGGAAGGAAGAAUCUUCCUAGGCGGGUUACUGAUGGUGGUUUGGCAUUGAAGGAUUAUUUUUUUUAUUUUUUUUUCGCAAUUAAGGAAAUGUAUGGUGUAAAAGAUAAGAAUGGGGAGGUGUGGGAUAUCAGUAGAGAAGGCUGCUGAAACCAUUGUUAAAAUGCCUGUACUUACAAGGAAGGAGCAAGAUGAUUUUAUGAUUGGUUUUUUGGUUAUGGUGUUUGGGGGGCUAUUAUGCCCUACUACUAGUGGAGCAAUGUUAGCGGCUUCCUUGCGCUUCGUGUUUGUGUUGGAGUGGUAGCUAGGGAGUACGAUUGGUGCUCGUUGGCGCACCAGUGGGUGAUGAGCUGUGCUAGGGAUUUUGCUUCAAAGUUUGAGGCAUCUGGUUAUGCUGCUAGGGCAGGUGGUUGUUCACUUUUCCUGAUGUGAGGUGUAUAUCCCAGGAUUGAGGAUUGAGGAUUGAGGUAUAGACUGGGGACAAGAUUAAGGAAGGAUAUGAGAAGGAUUUAAAGAAGACAAAGGACUAUGGGUUGUUGAAAUCGUUGGAUGUGGCUUAUGAGGAAAGGCAUCCUUGUUGGUUAGGAUACCAACAAUAGACAAAAAAACCUUGUUGGUUUGGGAAGUUUGUUUGGCUUAUAUACUUGGGUUAUAUGACUGGUUUGGGAAGCUAUUCCUAAAUGAUGGUAUUUCUGAUACAUUUUCAUGAUGGUGUUGAAGCAUAUGACCCCUGAAUGGUUCGAGGAGAAGCUCACACCAUGGCUUCAUCGGCUGGAGCAACUUUAUAGCUCUGGGUGUAGGGUGGUUGUUCGGGCACCUUUGGAGAGGAAAACCGCUUACCCGGUACUUUCGGUGUCUUCUAAAGAGUCGGAGGAAAAACAAAAUGAUGGGCAUAAUGAUGAGGCGAGUACUCUUGACAAAAGACUAGGAAAACUUGAUGAUAAGGUUGUUAUUGGUGAUAAGCAAAUAGGUGUUAGAGAUUUGAUUAAAAUUGUUGCCUCUCAGCAUAGAAAGACGUAGAAGCAGUUGGUGCUGUCGUAGGGGUCGUUGAGUCUGUUGUUGACAAGGAGGCACACUCUAAGGGAGCUGAAAAUGGUGGGGGUGAGACUAUUGUUUAGGCUAAUCCGGAGGCUAACCUUGAGUCUGGUGUUGACCAUACUGGGGAGCAAACUGCUGGGAGUUUAGGGCCACGUGUAGAAGAACAACCACAAACGAAAAUAUUUAUUGACCCGCACGCCAUUACCUAUGCAGACUUGGUGAGUCAACAACAAUGAAGUCCCACAACUUAGGUUUUAAAUGGUUAUGUGUAAGCCUGAAAUACUCUAGUAUGUUCUCAGUAUUGCUUACAAUUGCUUUUUAAGUUUUUGUUGUAAAGACACAUACCUUGGGUGUUUUGUUUGUUUUUAUUAGUUUGAAACUUGUGAAUGACUCUGGGUUGUUUGAAUUGAAUUAUUUAUUGCCUUUUUAUGGUUUCGUUUGAACAUAUUCAAUGUUUGGUCCCGUCGAA